ACGGAAGGCAGCAGUGGGGAAUAUUGCACAAUGGGGGAAGCCCUGAUGCAGCGACGCCGCGUGAGUGAAGAAGUAUUUCGGUAUGUAAAGCUCUAUCAGCAGGGAAGAAAAUGACGGUACCUGACUAAGAAGCCCCGGCUAACUACGUGCCAGCAGCCGCGGUAAUACGUAGGGGGCAAGCGUUAUCCGGAUUUACUGGGUGUAAAGGGAGCAUAGACGGUAAUGCAAGUCUGGAGUGAAAACCCGGGGCUCAGCCCCGGGACUGCUUUGGAAACUGUAUAACUGGAGUGCCGGAGAGGUAAGCGGAAUUCCUAGUGUAGCGGUGAAAUGCGUAGAUAUUAGGAGGAACACCAGUGGCGAAGGCGGCUUACUGGACGGUAACUGACGCUGAGGCUCGAAAGCGUGGGGAGCAAACAGGAUUAGAUACCCUGGUA
Molecule: ribosomal RNA, 434 nt
Filed under: uncultured Lachnospiraceae bacterium
Lineage: Bacteria; Bacillati; Bacillota; Clostridia; Lachnospirales; Lachnospiraceae
Description: bacterial SSU rRNA
Rfam family: Bacterial small subunit ribosomal RNA
Source: RNAcentral